This 41-nucleotide ribosomal RNA is filed under the name Mormodes paraensis. RNAcentral describes it as "partial 26S ribosomal RNA". Lineage: Eukaryota; Viridiplantae; Streptophyta; Magnoliopsida; Asparagales; Orchidaceae. The record is from RNAcentral.
GCGACCCCAGGAUGGGCGAGGCCACCCGCUGAGUUUAAGCA